GACGAACGCUGGCGGCGUGCCUAAUACAUGCAAGUCGAACGCACAGUUUAUACCGUAGCUUGCUACACCAUAGACUGUGAGUUGCGAACGGGUGAGUAACGCGUAGGUAACCUGCCUGGUAGCGGGGGAUAACUAUUGGAAACGAUAGCUAAUACCGCAUAAUAUUGAUUAUUGCAUGAUAAUUAAUUGAAAGGUGCAAUUGCACCACUACCAGAUGGACCUGCGUUGUAUUAGCUAGUAGGUGAGGUAACGGCUCACCUAGGCGACGAUACAUAGCCGACCUGAGAGGGUGAUCGGCCACACUGGGACUGAGACACGGCCCAGACUCCUACGGGAGGCAGCAGUAGGGAAUCUUCGGCAAUGGACGAAAGUCUGACCGAGCAACGCCGCGUGAGUGAAGAAGGUUUUCGGAUCGUAAAGCUCGGUUGUAAGAGAAGAACGGGUGUGAGAGUGGAAAGUUCACACUGUGACGGUAGCUUACCAGAAAGGGACGGCUAACUACGUG
RNAcentral lists this ribosomal RNA (505 nucleotides) under uncultured bacterium. Its description in RNAcentral is "partial 16S ribosomal RNA". It matches the Rfam family "Bacterial small subunit ribosomal RNA", at positions 28 to 507 of the family's 1533-position model. The record is from RNAcentral.